Molecule: ribosomal RNA, 365 nt
Filed under: uncultured bacterium
Lineage: Bacteria
Description: bacterial SSU rRNA
Rfam family: Bacterial small subunit ribosomal RNA
Source: RNAcentral
GGAGGAUCCAAGCGUUAUCCGAAAUCAUUGGGUUUAAAGGGUCCGUAGGCGGUUUGGUAAGUCAGUGGUGAAAGCCCAUCGCUCAACGGUGGAACGGCCAUUGGUACUGCCAGACUUGAAUUAUUGGGAAGUAACUAGAAUAUGUAGUGUAGCGGUGAAAUGCUUAGAGAUUACAUGGAAUACCAAUUGCGAAGGCAGGUUACUACCAAUUGAUUGACGCUGAUGGACGAAAGCGUGGGGAGCGAACAGGAUUAGAUACCCUGGUAGUCCACGCCGUAAACGAUGGAUACUAGCUGUUGGGAGCAAUUUCAGUGGCUAAGCGAAAGUGAUAAGUAUCCCACCUGGGGAGUACGGGCGCAAGCCUG